RNAcentral lists this ribosomal RNA (253 nucleotides) under uncultured bacterium. RNAcentral describes it as "partial 16S ribosomal RNA". It matches the Rfam family "Bacterial small subunit ribosomal RNA", at positions 524 to 776 of the family's 1533-position model. The record is from RNAcentral.
UACGGGGGGGGCAAGCGUUGUUCGGAAUUACUGGGCGUAAAGGGCUCGUAGGCGGCCAACUAAGUCAGACGUGAAAUCCCUCGGCUUAACCGGGGAACUGCAUCUGAUACUGGAUGGCUUGAGUUCGGGAGAGGGAUGCGGAAUUCCAGGUGUAGCGGUGAAAUGCGUAGAUAUCUGGAGGAACACCGGUGGCGAAGGCGGGUCCCUGGGCCGAUACUGACGCUGAGGAGCGAAAGCGUGGGGAGCGAACAGG